AAGACUCUACUAAGUCUGCUCAUGACUCGUGAAACCUAUGUAACCUAGGCUUUAAUACCAACUUGUCACGAACCUAAACCCGGACCCAGUCGUGAUGACGCCUCUCGUGAAGACAAGGCCAACCGACACUUUCCCAUUUCAGUUUUAAGCAAUUAAACAACAAGAAUUAAGUCCAAAAUAUAAUAAAUAAUCCAAAAGUAAGAAGUUAACAAUAUAGUUUGCGGAAAAAUAACCCAACAUAGCCCGAUACCGGGGUGUCACCAGUCAUGAGCAUCUAUCAUUAUACUACAAGUCUGAAAUAUCUACAAAUCUUUUACAGAAUAACUGAAUGAGAAGGAAAUUAGAUAAAUGGGGAGAAACACGGGACUGCGGACGCCAAACAGCUACCUCGUGAACUCCGAAGUCUGCCGGGAGCUCUAAACUCUCACUAGCAGGAUCAACAACGCCUGAAUCUGCACACAAGGUGCAGGGAGUAAAGUGAGUACUCCUACUCAGUGAGUAAUAACCAUAAAUAAAGACUGAGAAAUAUGAAAUCACGUAAGGCACAUUAUAGGCUAUAAUGAAGCAGUAAAAGCCAGUAAAAACGUGAAUCAGUAAGGAUAUGUAAAGUCAUUUUAGUUCAACUUAAACUUCAUGAAAUGACUUUUCAACAAUUAAGCAGGUAAAUGACAGGCAAAUAAGAAUGAUAAACACAUAAAGGUUCGCCCCUCAGGCACAAUAUCAACAAAUCUGCCCUUCGGGCAAUCUUUCAAAACAAUACUAGCCCCUCGGGCUAUAUCUCACGUCACAAUGGGUACCCGCGCUCACUAGGGGUGUGCAGACUCCUGGAGGGGCCUCUUACGUCCCAAGCGUAAUAUCAAGCCAUCUCGUGGAAUAAUCACAUAAGUUCUCGGCCUCAUAUCAAUAAGUCACCCCGUGGCGUACAAAUCUCAAGCCCUCGGCCUCAUAAUCAUAAUCAUAAUCAGGUGUUUCCUCACAACAUAGGCCCUCAGCCUUACUCAGUCAAAAUUCUCACAAGCCACUCGGGCAACAGUAAAACAUGAUGCUCAGCCCAAAAUAUCAUUUAAAAUAUCAGUUUAAGUGUUAAAGCAGAGUAAACGUGACAGAGUUAUGAAAACAGUAGAAUAUAGCAUGACUGAGUUCAAGUAUAAAGUCAAAACAAAGAGGAAAUAUCAAUAAAAAUCCCCUAAGGGUUCAAAUAGUUGGCACAAGGCCCAAAUAUAGCAUUUAGCCUAAAACAUGAUGAUAACAAAUAGUUUUCAGUCAAAUACGCAGUAAAAUAGUCAUUCAGGACAGACUAAAUCAUCUGCAACACAAACCAGCAAAAACUGCCAAGUCCAAAGUCCAAAAUUGAUCCGUUUAACCAUUCGAAACUCACCUGAGGCCCUCGGGACCUCAACCAAACAUGCCAACAUAUCCCACAACCUCAUUCAAACUUGUUCCAACCUUUGGAAUUCCCAAAACAACAUCAAAACACCAAAAUCACAUCGGAUUCAAGCCUAAGAAUUUGAAGAACUUCCAAAUUCCGCUUUCGAUCAAAAAGUCUACCAAACCUCAUCCGAAUGACUUGAAAUUUUGUACAUACUUCCCAAGUGACACAACGAAACUAUUAUAACUUCCAUAAUUCCAUUCCGACCACUAUAUCAAAAUCUCACCUAUCAACCAGAAAACGCCAAAAUCUCAAUUUCGCUAAUUCAAGCCUAAACCUCCCACGGUCUUCCAAAAUGCAUUCUAAUCACGCUCCUAAGUCCCAAAUCACCUAACAGAGCUAACCAAAUCAUAAAAAUUCUGAUCCGAGAUCAUAUACUAACAAGUCAAAUCUUAGUCAAACUUUUCAAAUUUCAAGCUUCAAACUGAGAACCGUUCUUCCAAAUUCAUUCCCAUUACCCUGAAAACCAAAACCAACGAUUUACAUAAGUCAUAAUCCAUCACACGGGGCAAGUCAUGCCUGAGAACUGGCGAGUAAAGCGAAAAAGCCCAAAACGACCAGUUGGGUCGUUACAGAAAUAGAAGAUUAAACACUCAAAAUUAUCAAACAUUGUGGAGAAAGAAAUUUUUGGAAAACCCUAGUUUGGAAGAACUUAAAGAAGAAAACUAGAAGGCGUCUCAACAUACAGAGAUUCGAACAAACAGAAUUCAUAGAAAUAAAAAACCUAAAGUAUUGUAGUGUUUAAAAAUCGGUCAGUAGUAGAGGAAUAAGAGGAACUUAAAAAAAUCACAGAAACUUGAACACAUUGAAAGUAUGCAGAGAUUCAAACAGUAGAUAGCAAAUAACCUAAAAUAUAGUGCUAAAAUCGGUUAACAGUAAAGAAAUAAGAGAUCUUUAAAGAAAAGUCAUUGACAAACUCAGAAUCAUUCUAGAUCUACAAAGAUCGGGACAUAUUCAUGUACAAAGAUUAGGGUUUUGAGGGGCAAGGGGAGGGGUAAAGAGAAUCUGGUUUUGAACCAGAGAUUUGAACCGUGGAACUUCAAUAAAAAUUACUCACAAACCAUGAACGAACUCUUGAAGAGCCUUGAACGAGAUCUGGACUAGAUUUCUUUGAGGUUCUUCCAUAAAAACCACAUAAUCGAACAACCAGGGAGAUAGGAGACAAGUAGAGGCUUCGUACAGCCAUAGGACGCCAUAGAUCGGACAGGGAUUCAAAGGAUUUGGACUGAUUUUGGGUGACGACGAUUAGGGUUAGGGGUUGGUAUCGGAGAGAACCAGAGAGGAGGGGAUUCAAGGGUGGCUGUAGGGAGGAAAUGAUUAGGGUUUAGGGGGUCGUUUGAUUAAAAAAGGUAAGUAUUGAUGUGGACCGUUGAUCUAAAGGAUCAACGACCACGAUUUGAUGGGGGUCUUGGGUCGGGUAGGUGCAGAUUGGGCUUGGGUGAAUUAGGCUGGUAUUAAAGGGGUAUUGGGCUAGUAUUAAAGGGGUAAUGGGCUGGUUAAUUUCAAAACACAAAUGAAAAUAGAAGAGGCAAUUUAUUAAAUACCCCAAACAAUUCAUUAAAAAAUAAUUUGUAAAAUAAUACUAAUUAUAAAAAAUAAAUUUCAUGCGUAGAAAAAUUUAAAAAUAGUUUUUAGUGUUCAAAAGUGCAAGUGACUAAUUUUCUGGUAAAAAUAACACGAAAAAUGUGUGCAUGGGCUGUAAUUGCAAGGUUAUUGCAAUUAUAGCCAAAAGGUGCUAAUUUGGCUAUUUAUGAAAUAAUUUGGACUCAAUAGGACCUAUAAAAGUAAUAUUAAAUCAAGAUGUGUUCUAAAUUCGUUUGUGAUGUAAUUUUGCAAUUAUUCGUAUGAAGAAAAUAUUAAAAUAAAUUAUUUUAAGGGUAUAAAAAUUAUGAGAAAAUACCCAUUGAUGCUAAUACAUGGUUUUAAAUGUAUAUAAGUAUUUCAAAAAUAUUAUAGGAAAAAAUUGGGUAUCAACAACUACCCCUCUUUACCCGGGAAUGAUGAAAGAGUUUUUGGGUAAAGAAAUGAUGGCCAAUUUCUAUCGGAUGGGAUGUUUUGAAAGAUAGAGGUCGGACUCUGGUCUUUGAGCUGUCUACAUAUCCCUGGUUUUACAGAAAUCAGGCCAUGUGUAGUUCCCGAUUCAUUGGCAGAAUAUAUCGAUGAAGUCAUUAAGAGAAUGGACACGAGAUUUCGGAAUGGAUGCAAGAGUGGAUAUGGUGAAUGGUCCAGGUUUGAGACAGUUGAAGGAACUGGAGCGAGGCCGCUCCUGCUAGGAUAGCGGUUGCUUGCUUAUCACCUGCAGAUGCUACGAACCUGUAUUAGUGUGAAAAUUUAAACAUGAUGCAGAAUUCGUUUGGACCAUGAAAGCUAUCUUCGGACGGUUUAAGGAUGACGUUCUCAGAGCAUGAUGCAUUGGGCUAUGAAUUGUUUAGUGCGGGAUUCCUAGGCCAUUAAAUGAUGUUCUCGGGUCAUGAAGAUGGUUCCUCCAAACCAUGAUGCCUUUGAAUAAUGAUAUGCAAAUUUGAGAGGUCCUCAGGCCAUGGCAUGGUGUCUUCUAGCUAUGAGGAUGAUGCCUUUUAGACUAUGAUGCCUUUGGAUAGGUUGCGAUAUUUUAGCCCAUGAUAUGAAAUAAUAUGAUGUUACCAAGACAAGGCUUAGUCUUGUCAAAUGAAGAGCAUAACUUAGCCCAAUCGAAAAACAAAUAGAUAGUACACGAAUAGGUCGAUAUUUAUGCAAGGAGGGACAAUGCAUAGUCCCCAUGUAAACGUGGAGGCAAGUAUUAGCCUCAUAUGGAUGUGGAGGCAAGGAUUAGCCUCAUGCAGAUAUGGAGGCAAGGAUUAGCCUUAUGCACGUAUGGAGGCAGGUAUUAGCCUCAUGCAAAUAUAGAGGCAAGGAUUAGCCUCAUGCAGGUCAUGGAGGCAGCGAUUAGCCUCAUGCACGUAUGGAGGCAGAGAUUAGUCUCAUGGAAAUAUGGGAGGCANNNNNNNNNNNNNNNNNNNNNNNNNGAGGCAGGGAUUAGCCUCAUGAGGUAUGGAGGCAGGGAUUAGCCUAAUGCAAAUAUGGAGGCAAAGAUUAGCCUCACACAAAUAUGGAGGCAAGGAUUAGCCUCACGCAAAUAUGAAGGUAAGGAUUAGGCUCACGCAAAUAUGGAGGCAAGGAUUCGCCUCAUGCAAAUAUGAAGGCAAGGAUUAGCCUCACGCAAAUAUGAAGGCAAGGAUUAGCCUCACGCAAAUAUGAAGACAAGGAUUAGCCUCAUGCAAAUAUGGAGGCAAGGAUUAGCCUGGUGCAAAUAUGGAGGCAAGGAUUAGACUCAUGCAAGUAUGGAGGCAGGGAUUUGCCUCAUGCAGGUAUGGAGGUAGGGAUUAGCCUCAUGCAGGUAUGGAGGCAGGGAUUAGCCUCAUGUAAGUAUGGAGGCAAUGAUUAGCCUCAUGUAAAUAUGGAGGCAAGGAUUAACCUCAUGCAAGUAUGAAGACAUAGAUUAGCCUCAUGCAGAUAUGGAGGCAAGGAUUAGCCUCAUGCAAGUAUGCGGGAUAAGGCUUAGUCCCAUGCAAAGAGUGAGUAGCAAAUAGGAGUAGUAUAUUUCUUGGCUGGAGAUAUAUUCGGUGUCUGAUGGCUGGAUUGAUAGUGAAUUUGCUUUGUGUAUACAUGUUUGUGAAUGCUAUCGCUAUGUCAAAUGUGCCUGAGUUCAAAGAAAAAUUCUAAGUUUUGUAAGGGGAGGUUGGUUCGUGCUUCUGUCUGCUGGCCUUGCUUAGUUCAAUUCUGGAGACCUUAUUUGAGUUUACCUAGGUAACACCUGACUGUUAUGAAAAUAGAGUUUUCAAAAAUAUGCAAUUAUUGAUAAAAUAGAGUUGUUUUAGAAACGUACUGAAAUAUCCAGUAAUUUUAGAUGAUCUAGUGACUGUAACGCAUUUUAGAGACACUGUAGCUUUCUCUUGUUAGAAUUUUGAGGCUCCUCCUCAAAAAUCUGCCCCAGUUUGGUAGAUGAUCCUUCGGCUAUUUGCGAACUUUGUUGAACCUUCCUCGGAAUUUUGAGAAUCCUUCUCAAAAUUCUGCCCCAGUUUCUUAACCGAUUUCUAACCAUCUGGUAUAGUUGGCAUUGGCUGGACUUGCUCUAAUUACUUAUUCUAGCACGGUCGCUAGUUGACUCUUAUUUACGGUCUGCGCCUCUUUCUAAUUACUUAUUGUCUAAUUACUUCUGGGCCGUCCAGGUCAAAGCACAGCAAGUCACGCAUUCCUGUACUCAUUUCGUUUGGCGCAUCAAAAAUCAUGUCACGCGAACGUGUCCACAAUUAAUAACGCUUUAUUAAUAUUAAGAAAAUUUAAUCAUAGUUGCGCGAAUGCAUACCCCGAUUUUGUUUUUAAGAUCGUAAUUAUGUCACGCGAACGUGUCCACAAUCACAAUGAUAUAUUAGCAUCCGUACACAAAUAGUACAAAAGAACUUUCUUUUUACUAUCAGUAUAUUUUCACUUAUCUAUAUUAUUUCAGUAUCUUACAAGUUAUCAAUUGCAUUUGCUAUAAAAAGAUACUUGGAACUUAUGUCGCUUAAAUGGUAUGCUAAUAUAAAAUUUCGUAAUGCAGUUAAAGUAUAUCAGUAAAGUUUUUGUUUUGCAAUUUUGCAUGGCAUAAUUUAAUAAGUCGAAGAAGCAACAAGACUUACAGAUGCCAUAGCAACUGAAAAGCUUUUCAAGAUUCAUGACAAAUUAAGAAUAACCCUUUUGAGUUCCCAAAUCUUUUUCCAUCAUACCAAUUAGUGGAUUCAACAACCAUAAAAAUAUAGCACAAAUAGGUACAAUACCAAAGUAAUAUAAGUAGUGGGCAAAUUCCAAAAAUCGCACAAAGGAACACAGAUUGCACCUAACAAUAAUAACAAAUUAAUCAAUGUUUAAACUAAACAAUGCACUCGUUUCGGCCUCUCACGAAAUUGAACAAAGAAAAGAAAAGGAAUCUGACCAGAGUCCACCUCGCCGGAAACCUCAACGGAAAUCUCGAACCUCAAGCGACUCGAAUGAUGACCUUUGUUUACUGAAGAUUGCCGGUUCAGAGUUUCUUUGCCGGUAAAAAUGGAGCUCCGAGUGACGUAAAUGGUAGCUGAAGGUGAGAGAUUUUAUGGUGUUUUUUGGAGAGGAGGCUGUCUGGUUCGCCGGCGAUGGCAACGGCGCUGAAAGAGGAGAGGAUGAGGCUCUUCGCUAGAGAAGAAGAUGGAACGGUGAGACUCUAUGUUCUCUUAUGGCUGCUGUGAUUAUUUUCUUAAAGAAGAAGAAUGAAGCCUUCUCUUUUUCCCCUCCAAACUCCCCGUUCUCUAUCCUCCUUUUCUCUGUAUUUGCGUGUGUUUUUGUUUGUGUCCCAGAGAACCAGGAGAUCAAGAGAGACGAUGGGUGUUUCUCCUUUUUUUUGUUUUGAUUUUUGGUGAGGUCCGGU
This 6848-nucleotide long non-coding RNA is filed under the name Nicotiana tabacum (common tobacco). RNAcentral describes it as "long non-coding RNA (NTAB_LNC009832)". The record is from RNAcentral. Lineage: Eukaryota; Viridiplantae; Streptophyta; Magnoliopsida; Solanales; Solanaceae.